UCUUGGAUGAGUUGCGAACGGGUGAGUAACGCGUAGGUAACCUGCCUUGUAGCGGGGGAUAACUAUUGGAAACGAUAGCUAAUACCGCAUAACAAUGGAUGACACAUGUCAUUUAUUUGAAAGGGGCAAUUGCUCCACUACAAGAUGGACCUGCGUUGUAUUAGCUAGUAGGUGAGGUAACGGCUCACCUAGGCGACGAUACAUAGCCGACCUGAGAGGGUGAUCGGCCACACUGGGACUGAGACACGGCCCAGACUCCUACGGGAGGCAGCAGUAGGGAAUCUUCAGCAAUGGGGGCAACCCUGACCGAGCAACGCCGCGUGAGUGAAGAAGGUUUUCGGAUCGUAAAGCUCUGUUGUAAGUCAAGAACGAGUGUGAGAGUGGAAAGUUCACACUGUGACGGUAGCUUACCAGAAAGGGACGGCUAACUACGUGCCAGCAGCCGCGGUAAUACGUAGGUCCCGAGCGUUGUCCGGAUUUAUUGGGCGUAAAGCGAGCGCAGGCGGUUUGAUAAGUCUGAAGUUAAAGGCUGUGGCUCAACCAUAGUUCGCUUUGGAAACUGUCAAACUUGAGUGCAGAAGGGGAGAGUGGAAUUCCAUGUGUAGCGGUGAAAUGCGUAGAUAUAUGGAGGAACACCGGUGGCGAAAGCGGCUCUCUGGUCUGUAACUGACGCUGAGGCUCGAAAGCGUGGGGAGCGAACAGGAUUAGAUANCCUGGUAGUCCACGCCGUAAACGAUGAGUGCUAGGUGUUGGAUCCUUUCUGGGAUUCAGUGC
Molecule: ribosomal RNA, 774 nt
Filed under: uncultured Streptococcus sp.
Lineage: Bacteria; Bacillati; Bacillota; Bacilli; Lactobacillales; Streptococcaceae
Description: bacterial SSU rRNA
Rfam family: Bacterial small subunit ribosomal RNA
Source: RNAcentral